GAUGAAGAACGCAGCGAAAUGCGAUAAGUAGUGUGAAUUGCAGAAUUCAGUGAAUCAUCGAAUCUUUGAACGCUCAUUGCGCCCCUUGGUAUUCCAUGGGGCAUGCCUGUUCGAGCGUCAUUUGUACCUUCAAGCUUUGCUUGGUGUUGGGUGUUUGUCCCGAGGGACUCGCCUUAAAGUAAUUGGCAGCCAGUGUUUGGUUUUGAAGCGCAGCAGAAGUCGCGAUUCAAGGCUACACGCCCGCUUCCACAAGCCUUUUUUCACUUUUGACCUCGGAUCAGGUAGGGAUACCCGCUGAACUUAAGCAUAUCAAUAAGCGGAGGA
This 324-nucleotide unclassified non-coding RNA is filed under the name soil metagenome. RNAcentral describes it as "partial contains 5.8S ribosomal RNA, internal transcribed spacer 2, and large subunit ribosomal RNA". The stretch from base 1 to 120 matches the Rfam family "5.8S ribosomal RNA", at positions 35 to 154 of the family's 154-position model. The record is from RNAcentral.